Molecule: ribosomal RNA, 478 nt
Filed under: uncultured bacterium
Lineage: Bacteria
Description: bacterial SSU rRNA
Rfam family: Bacterial small subunit ribosomal RNA
Source: RNAcentral
AUUGAACGCUGGCGGCAUGCCUUACACAUGCAAGUCGAACGGUAACAGCACUUCGGUGGCUGACGAGUGGCGAACGGGUGAGUAAUACAUCGGAACGUGCCCGAGAGUGGGGGAUAACGCAGCGAAAGCUGUGCUAAUACCGCAUACGAUCUACGGAUGAAAGCAGGGGACCGCAAGGCCUUGCGCUCAUGGAGCGGCCGAUGGCAGAUUAGGUAGUUGGUGGGAUAAAAGCUUACCAAGCCGACGAUCUGUAGCUGGUCUGAGAGGACGACCAGCCACACUGGGACUGAGACACGGCCCAGACUCCUACGGGAGGCAGCAGUGGGGAAUUUUGGACAAUGGGCGAAAGCCUGAUCCAGCCAUGCCGCGUGCAGGAUGAAGGCCUUCGGGUUGUAACUGCUUUGUACGAACGAAAGGUCUUUUCUAAUAAAGAAGGCUACAUGACGGUACCGUAAGAAUAAGCACCGGCUAACUACGU